GGUCCUGCGCCGAAAAUGUCCGGGGCUAAAACACGACACCGAAGCUGUGGAUCCGAAAGGAUGGUAGAGGAGCAUUCUUAAGUCGACGAAGCUGUACUGUAAGGAGCAGUGGAGAGUUAAGAAGAGAGAAUGCCGGAAUGAGUAGCGAGAUUUAAGUGAGAAUCUUAAAGGCCGAAUAUCUAAGGUUUCCAGGGUAAAGCUGAUCUUCCCUGGGUAAGUCGGGGCCUAAGGCGAGGGCGAGAGCCGUAGUCGAUGGAUAACAGGUUGAAAUUCCUGUACUGCUUAUGGACAGAACUGUGGGGACGCAGAAGGAGAGCACGAGCCGGAAAUGGAAAAGCCGGUACAAGCGUAUAGCAGUCAUGCAGGCAAAACCGCAUGAAAAAUGUAAAGCGUUAUGUGGAUCGAACAUUAGUAGAGAAGCGUGUGAGCCAGCUGCCAAGAAAAGCCGCUAUUGCUUCAUAAGUACCCGUACCGUAAACCGACACAGGUGGAUGAGGAGAGAAUCCUAAGGCCGGCGGGAGAAGUGUUGUUAAGGAACUCGGCAAAAUGACUCCGUAACUUCGGGAGAAGGAGUGCCACAGAGAUGUGGCCGCAGAGAAAUGGCCCAAGCAACUGUUUAGCAAAAACACAGGUCUAUGCAAAACCGAAAGGUGAGGUAUAUGGGCUGACGCCUGCCCGGUGCUGGAAGGUUAAGAGGAGAGGUUAGAGCAAUCGAAGCUUUGAAUUUAAGCCCCAGUAAACGGCGGCCGUAACUAUAACGGUCCUAAGGUAGCGAAAUUCCUUGUCGGGUAAGUUCCGACCCGCACGAAAGGCGUAAUGAUUUGGGCACUGUCUCAACAACACACCCGGUGAAAUUGAAAUACCAGUGAAGAUGCUGGUUACCUGCGCCAGGACGGAAAGACCCCAUGGAGCUUUACUCCAGUUUGAUACUGGGAUUCGGUACUGUCUGUACAGGAUAGGUGGGAGGCUAGGAAAUGGUGACGCCAGUUGCCAUGGAGCCAACCUUGGGAUACCACCCUUACAGUACUGGGUUUCUAACCUGCAGCCGUAACCCGGCUGGGGGACAAUGUCUGACGGGGAGUUUGACUGGGGCGGUCGCCUCCGAAAGAGUAUCGGAGGCGCUCAAAGGUUCCCUCAGAACGGUUGGAAACCGUUCGAAGAGUGCAAAGGCAGAAGGGAGCUUGACUGCGACACCGACGGGUGGAGCAGGUACGAAAGUAGGACUUAGUGAUCCGGUGGUAUAAAGUGGGAUUGCCAUCGCUCAACGGAUAAAAGCUACCCUGGGGAUAACAGGCUUAUCACUCCCAAGAGUUCACAUCGACGGAGUGGUUUGGCACCUCGAUGUCGGCUCAUCGCAUCCUGGAGCUGUAGCAGGUUCCAAGGGUUGGGCUGUUCGCCCAUUAAAGCGGUACGCGAGCUGGGUUCAGAACGUCGUGAGACAGUUCGGUCCCUAUCCGGCGUGGGCGUAGGAUAUUUGAGAGGAGCUGUCCUUAGUACGAGAGGACCGGGAUGGACAAACCUCUGGUGUAUCUGUUGUUUUACCAAAGGCAUGGCAGAGUAGCCAAGUUUGGCAGGGAUAAACGCUGAAGGCAUCUAAGCGUGAAGCCCCCCUCAAGAUAAGAUAUCCCAUCUUCGGAGUAAGACCCCUUGA
This 1651-nucleotide ribosomal RNA is filed under the name human gut metagenome. Its description in RNAcentral is "bacterial LSU rRNA". It matches the Rfam family "Bacterial large subunit ribosomal RNA", at positions 1155 to 2841 of the family's 2925-position model. The record is from RNAcentral.